GGUGGAUCCGGAUCCUCUCCAUUUCCCUCUGAAAUGGAGAGGCUCCAGUACACGGUGAGGAUUUCCCAUGGAGAGCAUCAAUGGUAAAAAUCGUGCCACGUCAUUUAAAACCCAAACCACACACUUAACUGCACACUUAACUGGGGUUAGACACUUAACCCAUCUGAAUAUUUCAAACUUAACCCAUCUGAGACCAAACCCAUCUCAAUAUUUCAAACUCUCUUUCUCACUCUCUUCUCAAUAUUUCAAACCCAUUUCUCUCUCGCCUCGCCGUCACGGUUCGAAACACAAACAAAAGAAACCCACUUCUCUCUCGCCUCGCCGUCACGGUGAGGAUAUCUACGAUUUGAUCGAGCUUUUAACUCAGCUCCUCGCUCAGUUCCUCGCUCACCACACAGAUUGAAAUCCCUAACCCACGAACUCAGCUCCUUGCUCUCAUGGAUUCAAGCUCGUGGGUCAUGACUCAUGAGGCAUACAGGAUUCAAGCACGAUCCCUCACCCACGAACGCAGCUCCUCGCUCACCUCAGACUAUGGGUUUCCAAAUUUCUAGAGGCAACGGAGCAGAGGCUACAGGAAGAGAGAGAAGAUGUUGCUCAUUUGCCUGGGGCAGUCUCUGUUGAUAAGUGGGAUGCUACUCUGCUUGAUGCUUCUUUUGUUGGCUAAAUAGGUGGGGGGAAAAUGGGUCAUUAGGUGGGUAGGUAUUAGUGGGAAAAUGCCAUAAUUUUGGUGUAUGUUGGUAGGUUUUGGCAGAAUGCUUGUGUUGGUAUGUGUUGGCUUGAAUUUGUGUUGGUAUGUAUUAGUGGGAAAAGGCCUGAAUUUUGGUGUAAUUCUCACUGUAAUCUGAGACUUCAGCAAUGGAACAUGGUCUUUUUAAUUAAUCUAUGACUUGUAUACCAAUUUA
Long non-coding RNA from Quercus lobata, 902 nucleotides. RefSeq lists it as uncharacterized. The record is from RefSeq and is a predicted model, not a curated record. NCBI's taxonomy places the organism in Eukaryota, Viridiplantae, Streptophyta, Magnoliopsida, Fagales, Fagaceae. The transcript is spliced from 2 exons.